CCAGACUCCUACGGGAGGCAGCAGUGGGGGAUAUUGCACAAUGGGGGGAACCCUGAUGCAGCGACGCCGCGUGGGUGAAGAAGCGCCCCGGCGCGUAAAGCCCUGUCAGCAGGGAAGAAAAUGACGGUACCUGAAGAAGAAGCCCCGGCUAACUACGUGCCAGCAGCCGCGGUAAUACGUAGGGGGCAAGCGUUAUCCGGAUUUACUGGGUGUAAAGGGGGCGCAGACGGCGAUGCAAGCCAGGAGUGAAAGCCCGGGGCCCAACCCCGGGACUGCUCUUGGAACUGCGUGGCUGGAGUGCAGGAGGGGCAGGCGGAAUUCCUGGUGUAGCGGUGAAAUGCGUAGAUAUUAGGAGGAACACCAGUGGCGAAGGCGGCUUACUGGACUGUAACUGACGUUGAGGCUCGAAAGCGUGGGGAGCAAACAGGAUUAGAUACCCUAGUA
Molecule: ribosomal RNA, 444 nt
Filed under: uncultured bacterium
Lineage: Bacteria
Description: bacterial SSU rRNA
Rfam family: Bacterial small subunit ribosomal RNA
Source: RNAcentral